Molecule: transfer RNA, 72 nt
Filed under: Dipodomys ordii (Ord's kangaroo rat)
Lineage: Eukaryota; Metazoa; Chordata; Mammalia; Rodentia; Heteromyidae
Rfam family: tRNA
About the family: Transfer RNA (tRNA) molecules are approximately 80 nucleotides in length. Their secondary structure includes four short double-helical elements and three loops (D, anti-codon, and T loops). Further hydrogen bonds mediate the characteristic L-shaped molecular structure. tRNAs have two regions of fundamental functional importance: the anti-codon, which is responsible for specific mRNA codon recognition, and the 3' end, to which the tRNAs corresponding amino acid is attached (by aminoacyl-tRNA synthetases). tRNAs cope with the degeneracy of the genetic code in two manners: having more than one tRNA (with a specific anti-codon) for a particular amino acid; and 'wobble' base-pairing, i.e. permitting non-standard base-pairing at the 3rd anti-codon position.
Source: Rfam by way of RNAcentral
AGGGAUGUAGCUCAGUGGUAGAGUACUUGCCUAGGGUGCAAAUAGUCCUGAGUUCAAUUCCCACCAUCACAC